GUAGAUGAAGAGAACCCAGUUAAACAAAUGAGACAAUAUUAUACUUGGUCACUUAUUUAUUGAGGAAAAUGAUCCAGUAUUACAUGUCUGUGAGUUGCAAAAGUAUGUGAAUCUUUGCUUUCAGUAUGUGGUGUGACCCCCUUGUGCAGCAAUAACUGCAACUAAACAUUUCCGGUAACUGUCCUGCACAUCGGCUUGGGGGAAUUUUAGCCCGUUCCUCAGUACAGAACAGCUUCAACUCUGGGAUGUUGGUGGGUUUCCUCACAUGAACUGCUUGCUUCAGGUCCUUCUACAACAUUUCUAUUGGAUUAAGCUCAGGACUUUGACUUGGCCAUUCCAAAACAUUAACUUUAUUCUUCUUUAAACAUUCUUUGGUAGAACGACUUGCAUGCUUAGGGUCGUUGUCUUGCUGCAUGACCCACUUUCUCCUGAGGUUCAGUUCAUGGACAGAUGUCCUGAUAUUUUCCUGUAGAAUUGACUGGAAUAAUUCAGAAUUCAUUGUACCAUCAAUGAUGGCAAGCCGUCCCAACUCGGAUGCAGCAAAACAGGCCCAUCCAUGAUACAACCACCACCAUGUUUCACAGAUGGGAUAAGGUUCUUAUGCUGGAAUGCAGUGUUUUUCAUUCUCCAGACAUAACGCUCUUCAUUUAAACCACAAAUUCUGUUUUGGUCUCAUCCAUCCACAAAACAUUUUCCAAUAGCCUUCUGGCUUGUCCAUGUGAUCUUUAACAAACUUCAGAUGGGCAGCAAUGUUCUUUUUGGAGAGCAGUGGCUUUCUCCUUGCAACUCUGCCAUGCACACCAUUGUUGUUCAGUGAUCUCCUGAUGGUGGACUCAUGAACAUUAACAUUAGCCAAUGUGAGAGAGGCCUUAGAAGUUUCUUAGAAGUUACCCUGGGUUCCUUUGUGACCUCAUGGACUAUUACACGUCUUGCUCUUGGAGUGAUCUUUGUUGGUCGACCACUCCUGAGGAGGGUAACAAUGGUCUUAAAUUUCCUCCAUUUCUACACAGUCUAUCUGACUAUGGUUUGGUGGAGUCCAAACUCUUUAUUGAUAGUUUUGUAACCUUUUCCAGCCUGAUGAACAUCAACAACUCUUUUUCUGAGGUCCUCAGAAAUCUCCUUUGUUCAUGCCAUGAUACACUUCCACAAACAUGUGUUGUGAAGAUCAGACUUUGAUAUAUCCCUGUUCUUUAAAUAAAACAGAACACUCACUCACACCUUAUUGUCAUCUCAUUGAUUGAAGUCACCUGACUCUAAUUUCACCUUCAAAUUAACUGCUAAUCCUAGAGGUUCACAUACUUUUGCCACUCACAGAUAUGUAAAGUUGGAUCAUUUUCCUAAAUAUAUAAAUGACCAAGUAUAACAUUUUUGUCUCAUUUGUUUAAUUGGGUUCUAUUGAUCUACUUUUAGAACUUGUGUGAAAAUCUGAUGAUGUUUGAGGUCAUAUUAUGCAGAUAUAUAGAAAAUUCUAAAGGGUUCACAAACUUUCAAGCACCACUGUAUGUGCUUUAAAUGUUUUUGAUGUUACUCUUCGUUCAGUCGUACAACUUGGUACCAUCAUUAUGCAUGUUAUGCAUCAUUAUGCAUUAUGCAUGAGUAGUGUUGGCAAGUACAAGUACAUCGGCUGGCCAAUAUAUUAGGCUGAUAUUUCCUUUCUUUUUUUUUUGCAUUAAAUCCAUCCACUGCAAACACAUUACAUGACCCUCUAGAGAAAAAAAAAGGGGUUUUAAAAUGUAGAAACAAUUUGCCUGAUGGUAGUUUGACCCCAAUACUUACUUUCCAUGCUUCACUACAGUAACAUUUUAUGUGAGAAUGUCUAAUAAGAUAUUAAAGCAUUUUAAUCUCUGUGUAUCCACAAAGACACACACAAAACGAGACAAGAAUAUGGUAUGGAGUUCAUUUGGUGCAAAAUGUUUUUAAACAUUUUUUACCUUAUCACUUACUGUUUGGGCGUGAGGGUUUUAAAAAGGCACACACCCUAAAUGUGUGUUUGCCAGCUGGAAUUUGGAGUGUCAUGUCAUCUGACCCCUGAGUACACCCACUCAGUGAACUGUGACAUUUCAUUCAAUAUAGCAAACUACUCAGCAGCAAAUUCUUCUAUAAUUGCAGUAUAGACACUGUUAACAGAAAUGAUAAGUUUGACACAUUUAGUGUUAGAUGCGAAGCUAAUGGGAUUUUUAACGGAAAAUUUGAACAUUAAACAUGUUCAUGCAAAAUGUCAAUGCUUACAGGAAUACCUACAUAAAUAAAGGAGAUUUCAGACUUUUAAUUGUCUGGAAUGGGUCUGGUAGCCUGAUCAUACAUGUUACAGGACUCAUUAGACACUAUUCAUGCUUAAACACAGACUGAUUGAAAAGAUGAUCUACAACAGUGUUUAAAUGUUUUAUGUUUCCUUUUUUAGAGUGGAUAUAUAAAGUCUACACACCCCUGUUUAAAUUGUAGGUUUUUGUGAUGUACAAAAAUGAAACCAAGAUCAAUCAUGUUAAAUCUUGUAUAUCAUAUGAUAUAUAACACAAAUGCAUGUGUAAGUGACAAACUUUGAUGAAACGUGAAGAGAGACAAAGCUUUAAGACACAGUGGCAUUCAUGGUAAAUUCCAGAUAAAACGCAAUGUCCAAUGGGUAGGUCUUGUAAGUAUAAGUUGUUAAAACUAGGCUGAUCUUAAAGAAUUCUUAAAGAAGCCCUGACCUCAGCUGCACUGAACACCUUUGGGAUGAACUUGAAUGCCAACUGCUUACCAGGCCUCCUCAUCCAACAUCAGCGCCUGACAUCAGUAAUGCAGUGGUAGCUCAGUGAUUAAGACAUUAGACUACUGAUCAGAAGGUUGUGAGUUCAAAUCCCAGCACUGCUAAGCUGCAACUGUCACUCAUUGAGCAAGUCCCUUAUCCCUCAACUACUCAGUUGUAUAAACAUGAGAUAAAUGCUCUGGAUAAGGAGUUUCCAAAUUACAUUUCUCAAGUCUACCAAAUGCCAUAAAUGUAAAAAAAUAAAAUAAACACCAAUGUAAUGCUCUUGUGGUUGAAUGGACACAAAUCCCCAUAUUCCAAAACCUAGUGGAAGGCCUUCCCAGAAGAGUUGAAUUUAUUAUAACAGUACAAUGGUAGACCUAAUAGACCUAAUGUGUGUGAUGGUCAGGUGUCCACAUACUUUGGACCAUAUAUUGUGACUGAUAAAAUGGCAAACACAAAUGAUCUCACAUCAGAUAGGUAAUACAGUGUAGUCUUCCAGGUCAGAAAUUACCAGAAAUGUUUUUCAUGAAAAGAUGAAUCCUUUAUAGGUGUUGUGCCUCAAACCUUGAGAUAAAUUUGUAAUUAAUCAUAGCUGUAAUAAUUGAGAUUACAGAUCAUUCUUUAAAGCUUUGUAACAGGUAGCAAGCUCUACGAAGGCAUUUCACACACUUGCACUCUGUCUUCUUCGUGUUUGUGCUGCAACCUGCUCUGUUUUCAGAGUUCACUGAAGAGCACUUGGAACUAGGUUUCUGCUUACUGACUUGAUUGACCUACCUCGCAUGUCAAAAUCAGCCAAGCAGCAAAUUAAUUUAGUCACUCCA
This is a long non-coding RNA of Ictalurus punctatus (channel catfish), 3549 nucleotides long. NCBI's taxonomy places the organism in Eukaryota, Metazoa, Chordata, Actinopteri, Siluriformes, Ictaluridae. The record is from Ensembl.